Long non-coding RNA from Cyprinus carpio (common carp), 378 nucleotides. The record is from Ensembl. NCBI's taxonomy places the organism in Eukaryota, Metazoa, Chordata, Actinopteri, Cypriniformes, Cyprinidae.
GCAAUAUUUACCACCAAAUACACACACACGAGUGAAACCCUGACCUUUUGUUAGAGGGUCUUGUUAAAAUAGCUUUCCUCAGUGGUGGAGUUCAGUCUAAAUCUGUGAGGAACCACUGAUAAAGGAGCAAACAGCUGCUUUAUCCCAGAGGCAGUGUCCUCCUCCCAGACUAACAUUAAACAUAGUCUUUACCUUCCUGAAACCAGAGAGCAUCUGUGCCUCUUCCUGAAAGAGAAGUCUGGAUACAGCUGUCUGCCGAGAGGUGGGGCGUCGUCAGGGAAACCGCUUCAUUAAGGGUGUAAUUAACAUCCAUGCUAGACAAUGGAUGCCAUGGUGAUAGACUCACUUCGGGUUUUCCAAGGGAUGACGUUAUGCAGG